RNAcentral lists this ribosomal RNA (254 nucleotides) under uncultured bacterium. Its description in RNAcentral is "partial 16S ribosomal RNA". It matches the Rfam family "Bacterial small subunit ribosomal RNA", at positions 524 to 776 of the family's 1533-position model. The record is from RNAcentral.
CACGUAGGGACCAAGCGUUGUCCGGAUUUAUUGGGCGUAAAGCGCUCGUAGGCGGUUCGGUAAGUCGGGUGUGAAACCUCCAGGCUCAACCUGGUGACGCCACCCGAUACUGCCGUGACUUGAGUUCGGUAGGGGAGCGGGGAAUUCCUGGUGUAGCGGUGAAAUGCGCAGAUAUCAGGAGGAACACCGGUGGCGAAGGCGGCGUUCUGGACUGCUACUGACACUGAUGAACGAAAGCCAGGGGAGCAAACGGG